AUGCUCGCUUCAGCAGCACAUAUACUAAAAAACUGGAAUGAUACAGAGAAGAUUGGCAUGGUCCCUAUGCAAGGAUGACAUGCAAAUCUGCAAAAUGCUCCAUACUUUG
This is a small nuclear RNA of Cavia aperea (Brazilian guinea pig), 109 nucleotides long. Lineage: Eukaryota; Metazoa; Chordata; Mammalia; Rodentia; Caviidae. The record is from Ensembl.